Molecule: microRNA precursor, 82 nt
Organism: Anolis carolinensis (green anole)
Lineage: Eukaryota; Metazoa; Chordata; Lepidosauria; Squamata; Anolidae
Source: Ensembl
ACAACUCUAAUAUCUUGUAGUUGUGAACUCCACAGUCUUACUAUGUGUUGUGUUCUAGAAGACUGUAGGAUGUUGGUGUGGU